UAGGGAAUCUUCCACAAUGGACGAAAGUCUGAUGGAGCAACGCCGCGUGAGNGAAGAAGGGUUUCGGCUCGUAAAACUCUGUUGUUAAAGAAGAACAUAUCUGAGAGUAACUGUUCAGGUAUUGACGGUAUUUAACCAGAAAGCCACGGCUAACUACGUGCCUG
Molecule: ribosomal RNA, 164 nt
Filed under: uncultured bacterium
Lineage: Bacteria
Description: partial 16S rRNA
Rfam family: Bacterial small subunit ribosomal RNA
Source: RNAcentral